RNAcentral lists this ribosomal RNA (497 nucleotides) under uncultured bacterium. RNAcentral's name for it is "partial 16S ribosomal RNA". It matches the Rfam family "Bacterial small subunit ribosomal RNA", at positions 28 to 507 of the family's 1533-position model. The record is from RNAcentral.
GAUGAACGCUGGCGGCGUGCCUAAUACAUGCAAGUCGAGCGAACAGACGCGGAGCUUGCUCCUCUGACGUUAGCGGCGGACGGGUGAGUAACACGUGGAUACCCUACCUAUCAGUCUGGGAUAACUUCGGGAAACCGGAGCUAAUACCGGAUAAUAUAUUGAACCGCGUGGUUCAAUAGUGAAAGACGGUUUUGCUGUCACUUAUAGAUGGAUCCGCGCCGCAUUAGCUAGUUGGUAAGGUAACGGCUUACCAAGGCAACGAUGCGUAGCCGACCUGAGAGGGUGAUCGGCCACACUGGAACGGAGACAGGGACCAGGCUCCUACGAGAGGCCGCAGUAGGGAAUCUUCCGCAAUGGGCGAAAGCUUGACGGAGCAACGCCGCGUGAGUGAUGAAGGUCUUCGGAUCGUAAAACUCUGUUAUUAGGGAAGAACAAAUGUGUAAGUAACUAUGCACGUCUUGACGGUACCUAAUCAGAAAGCCACGGCUAACUACGUG